This 429-nucleotide ribosomal RNA is filed under the name Acidobacteriota bacterium. RNAcentral describes it as "Acidobacteria bacterium partial 16S ribosomal RNA". It matches the Rfam family "Bacterial small subunit ribosomal RNA", at positions 355 to 776 of the family's 1533-position model. The record is from RNAcentral. Lineage: Bacteria; Pseudomonadati; Acidobacteriota.
UGGGGAAUUUUGGACAAUGGGGGAAACCCUGAUCCAGCCAUCCCGCGUGUGCGAUGAAGGCCUUCGGGUUGUAAAGCACUUUUGGCAGGAAAGAAACGUCAUGGGUUAAUACCCUGUGAAACUGACGGUACCUGCAGAAUAAGCACCGGCUAACUACGUGCCAGCAGCCGCGGUAAUACGUAGGGUGCAAGCGUUAAUCGGAAUUACUGGGCGUAAAGCGUGCGCAGGCGGUUCGGAAAGAAAGAUGUGAAAUCCCAGAGCUCAACUUUGGAACUGCAUUUUUAACUACCGGGCUAGAGUGUGUCAGAGGGAGGUGGAAGUCCGCGUGUAGCAGUGAAAUGCGUAGAUAUGCGGAGGAACACCGAUGGCGAAGGCAGCCUCCUGGGAUAACACUGACGCUCAUGCACGAAAGCGUGGGGAGCAAACAGG